GCGCCCGUAGCUCAGCGGAUAGAGCGGCUGGCUUCGAACCAGUAGGUCGGGGGUUCAACUCCCUCCGGGCGCUCCA
This 76-nucleotide transfer RNA is filed under the name Pseudomonadota bacterium. RNAcentral's name for it is "tRNA-Arg". It matches the Rfam family "tRNA". Rfam says of the family: Transfer RNA (tRNA) molecules are approximately 80 nucleotides in length. Their secondary structure includes four short double-helical elements and three loops (D, anti-codon, and T loops). Lineage: Bacteria; Pseudomonadati; Pseudomonadota. The record is from RNAcentral. RNAcentral also lists the same sequence under 1 other name.